Clupea harengus (Atlantic herring) is the source of this 1281-nucleotide long non-coding RNA. RefSeq lists it as uncharacterized. NCBI's taxonomy places the organism in Eukaryota, Metazoa, Chordata, Actinopteri, Clupeiformes, Clupeidae. The transcript is spliced from 5 exons. The record is from RefSeq and is a predicted model, not a curated record.
UAGAGGGCGGGACCUGCGCUGGGAUGAACAAGGCGCGGCCAAGAGCUCCUUCACACGUGCAGACAAAGAGACCUAACAACACAACCAAAAUAUGCACUUCCAAACUUUUUGCUUCCAGAUGAUCUCGCAAGGAAACCCAAAAAAAUGCAACUCUCGACGCAGAGGCCACACUCACCGCAAAUAUGGAAAGCUCAUAUUUUGGAUGGAAAUAGCUCUUGGAUGGAUUUUCGGGGAUUUACCAGUGACAUUUUGGCAAAGAAUCCCCCUUUGCUAACUCUGGAAUACUGCAGCGAAGUGACAUUUGGAUUACAAUCUCCUUCGGCAGCUGGAAUAUGAACAGCAGAUUGAAGGGAUACCCUAAUCCGCCUAGAGACGCAGCUUCUCUUCUGUGUGAGAGGUCAGGAGGAGGUGCAGGUAUGGUGGGUGGUGUCGUCUUGCUGACCACAUGCCCCGGGAUACGCGCAACUGAGAUGAGAGGCGUGCCUUCCCUGACUCCGGGCCCAGUGGACAGGAUGGCCGUGUGGCAUUCAAACCCACACUCCAGUUUCCCAAGCAAGUCCUAGCCUGAAGUGCGGCCAGUCAGCAGGGACGUUUGCCUGAGUUGACCUCCCUCUCCCUCUUUCUCACACUGCGCUAAGCUCCAUGUCUGGCAACCGAGCUGGGAAACAACCACAGUGUGUUUUCUCUCACACCCCACUCCACACCAGUGCAGUCGGUCAUCCACUGCUCAAGCUGAUCAAGUGCUUAAGGUGUGUGUGUGUGUGUGUGUGUGUGUGUGUGUGUGUGUGUGUGUGUGUGUGUGUGUUUGUGUGGCAGUAAUCUGUGUUUUAGUGUGUAAUCAUAAAAUUAAAGCUGUUUUUGUCUCAUUGUUAAUUUAAUUGUUUUAAUGUACUGGUGUGUGCAUGUUUGCCUCCCUCUCUCUCUCUCUCUUUCUGUCUCUCUCUCUAUCUCUCUCUUUCUGUCUCUCUCUGUGUCUCUCUCUCUGUCUCUGCGCAAGUGUGUGUGAGGUGUGGGGGCUCUACUUCUCCUUUUUUAUCAGGAUCGGUUCAGUGGGAAUGAGACAUUAGAGAGUAUAAAAUAUGACACAAUACUUUUGUGAAAUAAGUCACUUGUAAGGUCUAUGACUAUGAAAGACUAUAAAUCAGAAAAAAGGGAGAAGAUAGAUAUUUCACAAGCUGAUGUAACCUACAGAAACCCCCGAAGCUCACAGCUGGGGUAAAGAUAUUCACACACACCUGCACGCGCGCACACACACACACACACACACACACACACACACAC